This 429-nucleotide ribosomal RNA is filed under the name Bacillota bacterium. Its description in RNAcentral is "Firmicutes bacterium partial 16S ribosomal RNA". It matches the Rfam family "Bacterial small subunit ribosomal RNA", at positions 355 to 776 of the family's 1533-position model. The record is from RNAcentral. Lineage: Bacteria; Bacillati; Bacillota.
UAGGGAAUCUUCGGCAAUGGACGGAAGUCUGACCUAGCAACGCCGCGUGAGUGAAGAAGGUUUUCGGAUCGUAAAGCUCUGUUGUUAGAGAAGAACGUUGGUAGGAGUGGAAAAUCUACCAAGUGACGGUAACUAACCAGAAAGGGACGGCUAACUACGUGCCAGCAGCCGCGGUAAUACGUAGGUCCCGAGCGUUGUCCGGAUUUAUUGGGCGUAAAGCGAGCGCAGGCGGUUCUUUAAGUCUGAAGUUAAAGGCAGUGGCUUAACCAUUGUACGCUUUGGAGACUGGAGGACUUGAGUGCAGAAGGGGAGAGUGGAAUUCCAUGUGUAGCGGUGAAAAGCGUAGAUAUAUGGAGGAACACCGGUGGCGAAAGCGGCUCUCUGGUCUAUAACUGACGAUGAGGCUCGAAAGCGUGGGGAGCAAACAGG